Molecule: ribosomal RNA, 253 nt
Filed under: uncultured bacterium
Lineage: Bacteria
Description: partial 16S ribosomal RNA
Rfam family: Bacterial small subunit ribosomal RNA
Source: RNAcentral
UACGUAGGGGGCAAGCGUUGUCCGGAAUCAUUGGGCGUAAAGAGCGUGUAGGCGGCUCGAUAAGUCUGCUGUGAAAGUCCAGGGCUCAACCCUGGAAGGCCGGUGGAAACUGUCGGGCUAGAGUCCGGAAGAGGCGAGUGGAAUUCCCGGUGUAGCGGUGAAAUGCGUAGAGAUCGGGAGGAACACCAGAGGCGAAGGCGGCGACCUGGACAAGUACUGACACUCAACUACGAAAGCGUGGGGAGCAAACAGG